RNAcentral lists this ribosomal RNA (468 nucleotides) under uncultured bacterium. RNAcentral describes it as "partial 16S ribosomal RNA". It matches the Rfam family "Bacterial small subunit ribosomal RNA", at positions 28 to 507 of the family's 1533-position model. The record is from RNAcentral.
GACGAACGCUGGCGGCGUGCUUAACACAUGCAAGUCGAACGGAAAGGCCCUGCUUUUGUGGGGUGCUCGAGUGGCGAACGGGUGAGUAACACGUGAGUAACCUGCCCUUGACUUUGGGAUAACUUCAGGAAACUGGGGCUAAUACCGGAUAGGAGCUCCUGCUGCAUGGUGGGGGUUGGAAAGUUUCGGCGGUUGGGGAUGGACUCGCGGCUUAUCAGCUUGUUGGUGGGGUAGUGGCUUACCAAGGCUUUGACGGGUAGCCGGCCUGAGAGGGUGACCGGCCACAUUGGGACUGAGAUACGGCCCAGACGCCUACGGGAGGCAGCAGUGGGGAAUAUUGCACAAUGGGCGGAAGCCUGAUGCAGCAACGCCGCGUGCGGGAUGACGGCCUUCGGGUUGUAACCCGCUUUCGCCUGUGACGAAGCGUGGGUGACGGUAAUGGGUAAAGAAGCACCGGCUAACUACGUG